This 563-nucleotide ribosomal RNA is filed under the name Fusarium keratoplasticum. Its description in RNAcentral is "eukaryotic LSU rRNA". It matches the Rfam family "Eukaryotic large subunit ribosomal RNA", at positions 62 to 648 of the family's 3401-position model. Lineage: Eukaryota; Fungi; Ascomycota; Sordariomycetes; Hypocreales; Nectriaceae. The record is from RNAcentral.
AAACCAACAGGGAUUGCCCCAGUAACGGCGAGUGAAGCGGCAACAGCUCAAAUUUGAAAUCUGGCUCUCGGGCCCGAGUUGUAAUUUGUAGAGGAUGCUUUUGGUGAGGUGCCUUCCGAGUUCCCUGGAACGGGACGCCAUAGAGGGUGAGAGCCCCGUCUGGUUGGACACCGAUCCUCUGUAAAGCUCCUUCGACGAGUCGAGUAGUUUGGGAAUGCUGCUCUAAAUGGGAGGUAUAUGUCUUCUAAAGCUAAAUACCGGCCAGAGACCGAUAGCGCACAAGUAGAGUGAUCGAAAGAUGAAAAGAACUUUGAAAAGAGAGUUAAACAGUACGUGAAAUUGUUGAAAGGGAAGCGCUUGUGACCAGACUUGGGCUUGGUUGAUCAUCCGGGGUUCUCCCCGGUGCACUCUUCCGGCCCAGGCCAGCAUCAGUUCGCCCUGGGGGACAAAGGCUUCGGGAAUGUGGCUCUCUCCGGGGAGUGUUAUAGCCCGUUGCGUAAUACCCUGUGGCGGACUGAGGUUCGCGCAUUCGCAAGGAUGCUGGCGUAAUGGUCAUCAGUGAC